This 464-nucleotide ribosomal RNA is filed under the name uncultured bacterium. Its description in RNAcentral is "partial 16S ribosomal RNA". It matches the Rfam family "Bacterial small subunit ribosomal RNA", at positions 28 to 507 of the family's 1533-position model. The record is from RNAcentral.
GAUGAACGCUGGCGGCGUGCUUAACACAUGCAAGUCGAACGGAAAGGCUCCUGCUUGCAGGGGUACUCGAGUGGCGAACGGGUGAGUAACACGUGGGUGAUCUGCCCUGCACUUCGGGAUAAGCCUGGAAACUGGGUCUAAUACCGGAUAGGACCACAUUUUGGAUGGGGUGGUGGAAAGUUUUUCGGUGUGGGAUGAGCUCGCGGCCUAUCAGCUUGUUGGUGGGGUAAUGGCCUACCAAGGCGUCGACGGGUAGCCGGCCUGAGAGGGUGUACGGCCACAUUGGGACUGAGAUACGGCCCAGACUCCUACGGGAGGCAGCAGUGGGGAAUAUUGCACAAUGGGCGCAAGCCUGAUGCAGCGACGCCGCGUGGGGGAUGACGGCCUUCGGGUUGUAAACUCCUUUCGCUAGGGACGAAGCGCAAGUGACGGUACCUGGAGAAGAAGCACCGGCUAACUACGUG